UAGCAUAAUCAUUUGUUUUUUAAUUGAAAACUAGAAUGAAAGGUUUAAUAAAAAAUAAUCUUUAUUAAUUUUAAAAAAUUUGAAUUUGUUUUUUUAGUUAAAAAACUAAAAUUUCAUAAAAAGACGAUAAGACCCUAUAAAGCUUUAUAAUAUUAAAUUUAUUAAUUUAUUAGAAAUUUUUAGUUAAUUUUUUUUUAUUAUUAAAUUGGGGUGAUUUAAAGAUUUAAAAAACUCUUUAAUUUUAAUUUUUUCAUAUUUUUAUGUAUUUUGAUCCUUUAUUUUUUAAGAUUAUUAAAAUAAGUUACUUUAGGGAUAACAGCGUAAUUUUUUUGAAGAGUUCUAAUCGAUAAAAAAGAUUGCGACCUCGAUGUUGAAUUAAGAUAAAUAUUAGGUGUAGAAGUUUAAUUUUU
This 410-nucleotide ribosomal RNA is filed under the name Parapsectra bumasta. RNAcentral describes it as "partial 16S ribosomal RNA". The record is from RNAcentral. Lineage: Eukaryota; Metazoa; Arthropoda; Insecta; Diptera; Chironomidae.